RNAcentral lists this unclassified non-coding RNA (244 nucleotides) under uncultured fungus. RNAcentral's name for it is "sequence contains ITS1, 5.8S rRNA gene". Lineage: Eukaryota; Fungi. The record is from RNAcentral.
UCUCCGUUGGUGAACCAGCGGAGGGAUCAUUACAGAGUUUUCUAACUCCCAAACCCAUGUGAACUUACCAUUGUUGCCUCGGCGGAGCCUACCGUGUAGCUACCCUAUAAGGUGGUUACCCGGUAGCGCCCCGCCGGUGGAUUUCAAACUCUUGUUAUUUUUUGUAAUCUGAGAGUCUUAUUUUAAAUAGGUCAAAGCUUUCAACAACGGAUCUCUUGGAUCUGGCAUAGAUGAAGAACGCAGC